Molecule: long non-coding RNA, 1077 nt
Filed under: Erythranthe guttata (spotted monkey flower)
Lineage: Eukaryota; Viridiplantae; Streptophyta; Magnoliopsida; Lamiales; Phrymaceae
Description: long non-coding RNA (EGUT_LNC003736)
Source: RNAcentral
UAGGGUUGUUCAUGGGUCGGGUCGGUUGAAUAUCGGCCGAUUAUCGGCCCGACCCGACCAACCGACUAUUGCCAAAAUGUAAAACCAUUACCGACCCGACAAUUGUGAGUCGGGUAACGGUUGGCAACCGACUUUGUCGGUUGCCGAAAUAGUUCGGUUGCAAAUUAUCGGCCGAUAUCGGCCACAGUAAAAAAAGAAAAAAAAAAACAGAUUUGCUGCUAGAUUUAGAGGCCGAUGUGCCGGUGAACUUCGAUAUUUUACAAUUUAAAAUAUUCUAAUUAUUAGAAAUUUAGAAAUUAAUUUACACACACAUCACAGAACACACAUCACAGAGUUAAAAAAAUGGAAAGUCUGUACAUUGAGAUUAUUUUUUUUUUACAAUUGUGUCUUUCUCUCUUACACACACAAGAACACACAAGUUAAUGAAUAUCAAUUUCAUUUUCGUUUCACACAAUUAGUAUGGAGAAACAUAAAAUCUAAGCAAUAAUCAUUCGUGUUUAAAAAAAAUCAAAUUAAAUCAUUCAAAUGAGGAAUUGCCCAAUUUUAAUUUGAGAAAAAAACGAAAAAAAACCCUAGCCUUGAGUUUUUGCCCUUUAGAGUGUAGAAUGUAAAAGAUAAAUAGAGAGGGCCAGAGGUGGAGAGUUGGAGGAAGUAGCAACCCACCGGCGCAGGCGGCGAUGACUGGUUGUGGCUUGCAAGAGAAAUGUCGGCGGUGGUGUACUGGUGUUUAUGUGGUGGAGUUUUGGUUUCUGCUUCUGGAUGCAGAGUUAGAGAGGAGAUGAAUAAUUUAAAAUUAGUAUUUUAAUAUUUCCCAAUAAUUUAGUGAAGUCAAAGUCAAAACUCAAAAGGUUAAAAAAAAUAUAUUAUAUAUAAAAAUGAAAAGUCGGUUGGUCGGGUAAUAUCGGCCAACCGACUUUUCCAUAAAUUAAAAACUAUACCCGACCCAACUAAACAUGGGUCGGUUAAAAUUAUCGGCCCGACCAAAAUGAGUCGGUUGGUGGGCAAUUAUCGGCCACAAUAGUCGGGCCGAUAAUGGGUCGGUUGCCGGGUAAAACCGACCCAUGAACAACCCUAAUU